UACGGGGGGUGCGAGCGUUGUCCGGAUUUAUUGGGCGUAAAGCGAGCGCAGGCGGUUAUAUAAGUCUGAAGUUAAAGGCUAUGGCUGAACCAUAGUCCGCAUUGGAAACUGUUUAACUUGAGUGCAAGAGGGGAGAGUGGAAUUCCAUGUGUAGCGGUGAAAUGCGUAGAUAUAUGGAGGAACACCGGUGGCGAAAGCGGCUCUCUGGCUUGUAACUGACGCUGAGGCUCGAAAGCGUGGGGAGCAAACAGG
Molecule: ribosomal RNA, 252 nt
Filed under: uncultured bacterium
Lineage: Bacteria
Description: partial 16S ribosomal RNA
Rfam family: Bacterial small subunit ribosomal RNA
Source: RNAcentral